UGGUACGGGUGGUGAAUGGUUGUGGGUCGGCUCGUGUCGUGGGGUGUUGGGUUGGUCGGCGCCGAGGGCGCCCCUGUUGUUGGUUGCCCUCCUUUGGUUGGGCSCUCUGGCGAGACUGCCGGUGGCCGUCGGAGGCAGGUGGGGCGACGUCCCGCUGUCCUGCACCUUGUGUCCUGGGCUCCCCCCGUCCUNCACUGGCUUUUGCGGCGGGGUGCGAGACCGUGGGGUGGRGCCCCUCCCUAAAGYUGGCCCCGGUUCGGGUUGUGGGCUGGGCCUCGCCCACAUGAAGUCGGAAUUGCUGGUGAUUGCGGGUCGGCAUACUGCGGUGAAUACGUUCCACGGGCCUUGUACACGCCGCCCGUCCACCAUGGGAGUCUGCGACGCCGGAAGUCAGUGGUUUGACCAGUAAUGGAGAGCGCUGCCGAAGGUGGGGCCGAUGAUUGGGGUGAAGUCGUAACGAGGUUGCCGU
Molecule: ribosomal RNA, 469 nt
Filed under: unidentified
Description: bacterial SSU rRNA
Rfam family: Bacterial small subunit ribosomal RNA
Source: RNAcentral